UGCGCCUGUGGCGGGUGCAGCGUGAUCUGUGAGAGAGGUUUUGCAGGCAGCCUGAUCACGUACCACCUGGUAUCGUAAGCACAGCUUACUUCAAAGCUGUU
RNAcentral lists this small RNA (101 nucleotides) under bovine gut metagenome. RNAcentral's name for it is "RT-5 RNA". It matches the Rfam family "RT-5 RNA". Rfam says of the family: Clostridium (Firmicutes). Environment (Cow rumen (57)) The record is from RNAcentral.